UGGCCCGCGGCGCUGCGUCGAUGAAAGUGGAUAUUUAAGGCAGCGCAGAAAGCAGUUCGCAUUCACUCUCCGCGGCGCGCGGCCAGAGAGGCGGGCGCUCUACAACUCACUGACAAAUAAUGUCUUGCGAACGAACGAGGCUUCAUAUAACAUGACCGGAAGGAGAACGAGGUACGGACUCGGUGAGUCCUCGUUGAACGCGGAGGUUUUUUGAGGAGGACGGUGGAUGACCGCGAGCUCUCACUUCAGAAGAGCGCGUGUCACUCAACUCCAUCUGCAGCAAGGCAGCAGAAGCGGGAGAGCUGAAGGUGACCUGUGGCUGGGCCGGGGGCUGCAACACAGGACAUGGGAGCUGCCUCUCACUCCCGCUCGUGUCUUGUGUUGCAGCCAGUGGAACUGCUGCACUGUCCACAUCAGAGAUGGGAGGAAGCAUCGCGCUCGGGGAACAUUACACUCUCUUACAGCGGCUGCCUCUCAAAUCAUUGCUCUUCUCAUCUACUUCUCAAAGGAAAACACAGCUAUUCUGAGUAUAUUUCUGAAUAAAAGACAUUAUAGCUUUUAAAAUAAAUGCAAAGGGAAAGCAGCUAGUACUUCUUUGUAAUAGGGUAAGUGAUGUACCACUCAUUUUUUUAUUACAAAUGUUUCUUGAACAGCAAAUAAGCAUAUUAAAAUGAUUUCUGAAGGAUGAUGUGACACUGAAGUAAUGAUGCUGAAAACUUUUGCAUCACAGGAAUUAUAAUUACAAAUAUCCAAUGUAACGCUUUAAACACACAAGAUUUUUUUGUAUACUAUGUAUAUGUAUAUCUUUGUAUUUUAUUCCUGUGAUGUAAAGCUGUGUCUUCAGCAGUCUUCAAAAAUCAUGUCAAAUAUUGUUUGUAGAACAAAAAACAUUUGUAGAACAUUUUAACUUUUCAAUGAACUGUUCAAUUAUUAAAUUCCUUGUUCCUAGCAGUUCUAUCCCCUUUAGUGUGUGCAAACAUUUCAGAGUGACGGCGUGAAACCAUGUCAACACUGAUGCUCCUGUGUUUAGUUUAGAAAAGUGUCAAAUGCACACUCUGGCUGUCUGGUGCUUUAUUAAUGGUCUUUUAUCUCCCUCAAGGUUAUGCAUGAGUAACACACAUGAAGAAGUUUGGCUUUACCUCACACACUUACAUAUAGAUAUAAAAACACACACAGAUAAAGAAAAAGCAGCCUCAGAUGUGUAAAUAUUCAGAUCAUGUUGCUGCUCUGCCAACUAAGACCUGUCAGAGCUGAAGAAAGGCAAGCUGCGCUGCCCAUUUAAACGUGUGAAAUGAAGUAGUUUUCUGUCAGGGAUGUCACUUGAUUGGAAUUUAAAUCCAACAGUAGCUCAAAGAGAAUUGUUUGUGUCAAACGCAUUGUGAUGGGCUGAAUUCUGAAUGCAGCAUGACAAGACAAACUGCUUUUAUCUGGAAUAGGACAAAACUGCAUUCAGCAAACAGUGCUCUCAGUGGGCUACAACGUCUAACAUGAUAAGAGCAAAAACUGACAAAAAAAAUACAUUUUGUCUAGUGCUGUCAAGCGAUUAAUCAGAUCCAUGUAAGUACAUGUAUAUAGAUUUUUUAAAUAUAUACUGUAUGUGUGGGUAUUUAUAUAUGCAUAAUAAAUGUACACAGUACACACACAUG
Molecule: long non-coding RNA, 1646 nt
Organism: Carassius gibelio (silver crucian carp)
Lineage: Eukaryota; Metazoa; Chordata; Actinopteri; Cypriniformes; Cyprinidae
Exons: 2
Source: RefSeq, a predicted model, not a curated record